GGAUAUGAGGGUGAUCUGGCUGCGACAUCUGUUACCCCAUUGAUUGCCAGGGUUGAUAUGGCUGAUCUGGCUGGCUAGGCGGGUGUCCCCUUCCUCCCUCACUGCUCUAUGUGCAUCCCUCCCAAAGCUGCAUGCUCAGUUGAAGAGGACAGCCUUCCCCAAAUAGAGACGAUGGGUCUUCGGUUGAGGGUAUAUGAGUAGCUGCACUCCCCUGCUAGAACCUCCAAAUAAGCUCUCAAGGAAUAUUACUCUGAUUACUAUGAUCUGUGAAAAAGACAACAUAUUCAACAGUU
This 293-nucleotide small nuclear RNA is filed under the name Erinaceus europaeus (western European hedgehog). RNAcentral's name for it is "7SK RNA". It matches the Rfam family "7SK RNA". Rfam says of the family: 7SK was discovered as an abundant small nuclear RNA in the mid-70s but a possible function has only recently been suggested. Two independent studies have found that 7SK RNA binds the CDK9/cyclin T complex (known as elongation factor P-TEFb). P-TEFb activates transcription by phosphorylating the C-terminal domain of RNA polymerase II. Lineage: Eukaryota; Metazoa; Chordata; Mammalia; Eulipotyphla; Erinaceidae. The record is from Rfam by way of RNAcentral.